Molecule: long non-coding RNA, 455 nt
Filed under: Equus caballus (horse)
Lineage: Eukaryota; Metazoa; Chordata; Mammalia; Perissodactyla; Equidae
Description: lncRNA (ENSECAG00000053996.1)
Source: RNAcentral
CUCACAUUUGUGAGGUGUCCCAUCUGUGUCUGCAGGAGUCACCCUGAAGUUGACAGGAAUAUGAGUCAAAUGGCAGAUUCGCUUUGCCCCUGCGUUUUCACAGAAGUUUAGUUCUCCAACUACAACUAAAUGGACAUUCAUUGAUCAACAGAGGAUACCCAACAGGACUCCUGAGAGACCCAAAUAGCUAUACAUCUGAAGGUACAAUUACAAAUGGACGAAUUUGUGGCUUAAUAUCUUUCAAGAUAAGGCUGAAGGCCUUGAUGCCUGCUUCACCCUCACCUCUAAACCCUCAGGUGUCUACUUUGUACACAGACUGGCAGUUGGAGUCCUAUUGGCUAUCCCGGAAGUCCUGCUGGACAGAACGUAAAAUGGUUCCAGGAUGGCUCCACUCUUGUUGUCUAUACCUGGUCUACAGGAAAAGCUCAGGAACUUUUUGCCCUUCCACAAGUGAG